Arachis duranensis is the source of this 611-nucleotide long non-coding RNA. RefSeq lists it as uncharacterized. The record is from RefSeq and is a predicted model, not a curated record. The transcript has 4 exons. Lineage: Eukaryota; Viridiplantae; Streptophyta; Magnoliopsida; Fabales; Fabaceae.
UCCUUCCUUAUUUGUUCAAAGAGCCAGAACAGUGAAUCUGCGACACUGUGUUUCAGCUUGGCAUCCACGUGAGGGUUUACACAGCAUCAAAAGUUGAUGAAGAGUUAGAAGCAGCAAAGAGAGAGUAUUUACAGGCGGCAGUUGGCAUCACAAAGGGGAACAAGUUGAUAAUUCCAAAGUUGCUUGACUGGAGGCACAACUUAUUUCUGUAGACUCCCUUGGGUUUGAUCUAAGAGUUUGAUCUUCUGAUUAUCUCGAAUCAUGGCUCCUCGGGUCAAGGGUAAAGGUGUCAAGGGUCAUAGAGGUUCUCGAACCACCGCCGCAGCCGCUAUUACCACCAACUCCACCUCUUCUGGGACUUCAGUUGUGCCAGAUUUUCAGUCAGGACCACUUACCCAGCAACCAUAUUUGAUGGUGCCUAAUCCAGGCUACAUUGGUCUUCCUCCACCAACUUGGCCUACUCCAGGAUGUAUGGGCCCUCCACCACCCCCUCUUCCAAUUUCGAUUCCUCCUCCGUCUCGCAAUUCCAGCCUAUUAGUUGAUUCAGAGACACCUGGAAGCUCUAGUACAUCUCCUCCAUCAGAAACUGCAUCGGUUCCUAAUGUUGUCAC